CCUGACAUGCGACGCCACGUGAGCGAUGAAGGCCUUCGGGUCGUAAAGCUCUGUCACACGGGAGGAAAUGCAGAUAUGCAAAUAGCGUAUCUGUUUGACAGUACCGUGAGAGGAAGCCACGGCUAACUCCGUGCCAGCAGCCGCGGUAAUACGGAGGUGGCAAGCGUUGUUCGGAUUUAUUGGGUGUAAAGGGCAUGUAGGCGGUUAUGUAAGUCAAAUGUGAAAUCCCUCAGCUCAACUGAGGAAGUGCAUUUGAAACUACAUAGCUUGAGUGUAGGAGAGGAGAGCGGAAUUCCCGGUGUAAGGGUGAAAUCUUUAGAUAUCGGGAGGAACACCAGUGGCGAAGGCGGCUCUCUGGCCUGAAACUGACGCUGAAAUGCGAAAGCUAGGGGAGCAAACAGGAUUAGAUACCCUGGUAGUCCUAGCCGUAAACGAUGGGCACUAGGUGUAGGAGGUUAAUACCUUCUGUGCCGAAGUUAACACAUUAAGUGCCCCACCUGGGGAGUACGAUCGCAAGAUUGAAACUCAAAGGAAUUGACGGGGGCCCGCACAAGCGGUGGAGCAUGUGGUUUAAUUCGACGCUACGCGAAGAACCUUACCAGGGCUUGACAUGUGCCAAGUAAGAACCGGAAA
This 633-nucleotide ribosomal RNA is filed under the name uncultured bacterium. Its description in RNAcentral is "bacterial SSU rRNA". It matches the Rfam family "Bacterial small subunit ribosomal RNA", at positions 382 to 1006 of the family's 1533-position model. The record is from RNAcentral.